GACACUAUAUAUUCCAUGAAGUUCAUCAUUGUCAGGAUUAGUUGCAGUGGUCAGGAGUUUGUAGUACAGGAAAGGAGCGAAGGAGGAAAAGAAAAACGAGGGGAAAUGGCAGGAAUUUAUUUGGCGAAGAAAGGAUCCAUUAACGUCUACAAAGCUUCCCUCAAGCAUCAACCUUCUUUUGUUGAUUCAGCCAUCAGGGUUUCAAGGGCCUGUUUCUCCACCGGUUCUGAGCGUGCUGAGGGGAGCAAUGCAGCGGCAGGAACAAGAGGAGAAGGAACUGGGCCUGAUGGGACACCAGGAGUAUCAUCAGAAACAAGUAAAGAUCCUGUAGGCCAAGGCAUAUACGAGGCGAAGCACCAAGCUCUAGACAUGGACGAAAACACAACAACAGGAGCAACACAGUUUGUAGCUGACACAGCAAAAGAAGGGGUGAGAAAAGCAACAGAAAGAGCUGAUGCUGUAGGAGACACUGCUAAGCGGGCAGUGGACAGUGCUUCGGAAGCAUCCAAGGAAGCUAACCACAAGGUUAGAGAUACAGUGGCUGGUGGUAAGGAUAACAAUGAGAAUCACAAUAACCAUAAUGAGGAAGAUCCAGGCGUUGUUGAGAUGCAAAAGAUGGAUGGGCCUAUUGAUACAGUAGAGUAUAGAAAUUUGGAGAUUAAUAUUGAGGAAAUGAGUAGAUCAGCUUGAUGAUAUAUGACAUGGUGCACUCCUAUACUUGAUGUAGUUCUGAUGAUCAUGUCUCUGUUUGUUUGUGUGUGUCAGAAUAUGUGUGUUGAAGAUUUUGUGACAAGGAAGAUUGGUGUGUUUUUUCUUCUCUUUUCUUGCUAAUGAGACAUGCAUAAAGUCCAAAUUAAAGAACCUGAGGAGGAGGGCAAAUUGAAAGCUAUGGAUGAAGGAUCAAAGAUUGGAACUUUGAAUUGCAGUUAUCAGAGUGAAGCUGCCUGUAUGUAUUGAAAUCCAACGACUAUAUUGGUCUAAUUCGUUGUUUGAGCAGAAUUGGCAGUGUAUUUGUUCAUGGAUCAAUCAAUGCACUUUCAGAGAGUCAUAGAGUGAACUAUGUAAAGGGUGCUUCUUCUUUAGAUGGAUAUCACCUCUGCUAGCUUUUCCUGAGACAUUUGAAAUAUAUUGGUCUAGUUAUAUAAUACGGAUCGAUUAUCGAA
This is an RNA transcript of Ricinus communis (castor bean), 1163 nucleotides long. RefSeq lists it as uncharacterized. The record is from RefSeq and is a predicted model, not a curated record. NCBI's taxonomy places the organism in Eukaryota, Viridiplantae, Streptophyta, Magnoliopsida, Malpighiales, Euphorbiaceae. The transcript has 3 exons.